ACCUUAUUGACAGUUCGUCGUCUGUCGCCGUUUAGGUUAGGUUAUUCUUAAAGUAUCCAUGAAAAUUCCAAAUUUUGUGAAAACAAUAUUUUUCGGAGUACCCAUUGGUAUAACAAUCAUAGAUGUUUUUGGAUAUGUAGCCAGGGUUGAUGGAAUUUCUAUGCAACCUGCGCUAAACCCCGAUGUGAAUCAAACAGAUUAUGUAUUUCUGAACAAAUGGGUUAUAAAAUCAGAAGAAAUUAAUCGUGGAGACAUCGUGUCAUUAAUUUCUCCCAAAGAUCCAUCACAAAAAAUCAUUAAGAGAGUCGUUGGAGUUCAGGGUGAUAUAAUCGCUACCUUGGGAUAUAAAAAAGAAAUCAUCAGAAUUCCUGAAGGUCACUGUUGGAUAGAAGGUGACCACACUGGUCACUCUAUGGACUCUAACAGAUUCGGUCCAGUAUCGCUAGGUCUGAUUACUGCGAAAGCCACUUGCAUUGUAUGGCCCCCUUCUCGUUGGCAGCUAAUCCACUCUUUCUUACCUGACUCCCGAGUACCUUUGAAUCUAGUGUCUAAACCUAUACUAGGAUUUUCUCAGUACUGAGCAGCCACAAAGACUUUAUAAAAAUGAGAGCAAUAUCUUUAGUGAAGAAAAUAGAAUUUGAAUUUACAGGAAAUGUUGCUAGAAAUGCAGUGACCUUAGGUGAUGUUGAUAAUGAUGGAUGUAAUGAGCUCAUCGUUGGAAAUCAGAAUGGUGAUAUUGCAAUUUUCAAGGGAAAGGAAAAACUGCAGUCAAUAUCUAAACUAGGUUUUAUAACUUGUAUUGCUGUUGGAGAUGUCACCAAC
This 822-nucleotide unclassified non-coding RNA is filed under the name Leptinotarsa decemlineata (Colorado potato beetle). Its description in RNAcentral is "kICSTOR complex protein ITFG2-like, transcript variant X2". Lineage: Eukaryota; Metazoa; Arthropoda; Insecta; Coleoptera; Chrysomelidae. The record is from RNAcentral.